GACGAACGCUGGCGGCGUGCCUAAUACAUGCAAGUUGAGCGCUGAAGGUUGGUACUUGUACCAACUGGAUGAGCAGCGAACGGGUGAGUAACGCGUGGGGAAUCUGCCUUUGAGCGGGGGACAACAUUUGGAAAGGAAUGCUAAUACCGCAUAAAAACUUUAAACAUAAGUUUUAAGUUUGAAAGAUGCAAUUGCAUCACUCAAAGAUGAUCCCGCGUUGUAUUAGCUAGUUGGUGAGGUAAAGGUUCACCAAGGCGAUGAUACAUAGCCGACCUGAGAGGGUGAUCAGCCACAUUGAGACUGAGACACGCCCCAAACUCCUACGGGAGGCAGCAGUAGGGAAUCUUCGGCAAUGGACGAAAGUCUGACCGAGCAACGCCGCGUGAGUGAAGAACGUUUUCGGAUCGUAAAACUCUGUUGGUAGAGAAGAACGUUUGUGAGAGUGGAAAGCUCAUCAAGUGACGGUAACUACCCAGAAAGGGACGGCUAACUACGUG
This 497-nucleotide ribosomal RNA is filed under the name uncultured bacterium. RNAcentral describes it as "partial 16S ribosomal RNA". It matches the Rfam family "Bacterial small subunit ribosomal RNA", at positions 28 to 507 of the family's 1533-position model. The record is from RNAcentral.